Molecule: ribosomal RNA, 697 nt
Filed under: Bacillus subtilis
Lineage: Bacteria; Bacillati; Bacillota; Bacilli; Caryophanales; Bacillaceae
Description: bacterial SSU rRNA
Rfam family: Bacterial small subunit ribosomal RNA
Source: RNAcentral
GGGAGCUUGCUCCCUGAUGUUAGCGGCGGACGGGUGAGUAACACGUGGGUAACCUGCCUGUAAGACUGGGAUAACUCCGGGAAACCGGGGCUAAUACCGGAUGGUUGUUUGAACCGCAUGGUUCAAACAUAAAAGGUGGCUUCGGCUACCACUUACAGAUGGACCCGCGGCGCAUUAGCUAGUUGGUGAGGUAANGGCUCACCAAGGCAACGAUGCGUAGCCGACCUGAGAGGGUGAUCGGCCACACUGGGACUGAGACACGGCCCAGACUCCUACGGGAGGCAGCAGUAGGGAAUCUUCCGCAAUGGACGAAAGUCUGACGGAGCAACGCCGCGUGAGUGAUGAAGGUUUUCGGAUCGUAAAGCUCUGUUGUUAGGGAAGAACAAGUACCGUUCGAAUAGGGCGGUACCUUGACGGUACCUAACCAGAAAGCCACGGCUAACUACGUGCCAGCAGCCGCGGUAAUACGUAGGUGGCAAGCGUUGUCCGGAAUUAUUGGGCGUAAAGGGCUCGCAGGCGGUUUCUUAAGUCUGAUGUGAAAGCCCCCGGCUCAACCGGGGAGGGUCAUUGGAAACUGGGGAACUUGAGUGCAGAAGAGGAGAGUGGAAUUCCACGUGUAGCGGUGAAAUGCGUAGAGAUGUGGAGGAACACCAGUGGCGAAGGCGACUCUCUGGUCUGUAACUGACGCUGAGCAAUU